GCGGCCACUCUUCUCCUGGUACGGCCUUGUCUGGUUGCUCCCCCAGAGCACUGCUGGUUCGGGCGUGUUCGGCCACCCUCCUGAGGAAGCGGACGUCCUCCGGGCACAUCCCCACGGGCAGCAAAGCGCCUCCAGGCCCGGGUGAGUAGCGCGCGCGCCCAGUCCGGGCAUCCCGCGGCGGCGGCCGGCGCUCCCCGGGAAAUCGUCCCGGGAAGGACGCUCCUGUCACUGCCCCUGCAGGCUUCCCUGUCUUGUUUCAUUAAAGGAGAAAUUCUUCAGAAGCCUCGGGUAUUGUUUCGGUCGCCCCAAAGAGACGCCUUGAGUCCCAAAGAGGCACUUUUAGUCACACAGUCCCGCAGCCUGGACGGGAGCCUCUCGGAUAAACUGAGCAGCGCAAACCCGGUUUGACGCCCUGCCCUCAGGCUGGGCCGCGCGCACGCACACCUCGAGGCGGUGUGGGCACGGGGCGUGCGUGGCGCCCAACGCCGAGCUUCAUCGAAUGAACCGACGGCCCCGAACUCAGCAACCUGCUAACCACUUUGAAAUGAGGGUGACUCUAAUUUCACAAAACCCUGUAACAGGAAAGCGUGCCCUUUACAUGAGCAAACGCAGGACGACAAAGUUACCAGAUACACCCUACACCCCGUCCCGUGUUGCAGACGGCAGCAUGACACUUCUCAGCACCUCGGUUUCCUCACCUCACGACAUAUCCUGAAGAGGAUUCCCUUUCUACAGCUAAAGAGUGUUCCACUGUGUGAAUGUUCGGGUCAUGAUUUCGCUCCUCGGAGGAGCAGUUGGACGACUCGUCUGAACGAUAGGGCAGCGAGCGCACGGCCGUUCCUCAACCGCGUGUGGAAACGCCCACUGGCUGAGGGAGGAUGGGUAAGGACUCCGAUCCCCGCCCCAAGCCGUCUCUGAGGAACUGAGUUCCCAAACAACAAAGUCCGCGGCCUAGAAGGGCCGGAAGUACUUGAGGAUGCUCAACGGGACCCGCCCCUCCGCUUCCGGAAUCGGCUGUGGGGAGUCCCUGGUGCAGUCCUCCGUGUUCGGUUAGUAGAAUGGCGCCGGGCCGACGCGGUCACGGCACCGAGAGCGGACGGCCGCUAAGCGCUUCUGCCGUUCCCCGAAGUUUGCCUCCAGUGGCGGGGGAUGGGGGAGGCCGGUUCUUCCAGGUCGUCCGCGUUCCCUGCUCCUUCAUAUUACAGAGACGUGGGCCUCCGUCGUUCUAGCCCUCCCGCCCUGUUCCCGUGUGCCUGCUAGAGCGUCUCCUCGCCGUUUCCUGUUGCCCAGGGGCCCGGGAGGAAAGAAGGGGGCGUAGCGCUACCGCGGAGGGAACUCGCGAGCUUAGGAGACUCGCAGACACCGGAAGUGUUGGAAGGAAGACCGGAAGUGAGGGGGUGGAGCCAGGAAGUGAGGAGGGGCGGGGGUUUAUGAGGAGGCCAAGGGAGCGUUGGGACAGAUUUGCACUCAGGGCCACCUGAGGGACUUGGCUAUAGCGCUGAGCUCUGUCCCCUCUACUCGCAGAGACACGGUUGUCGUCUAGGAGUAGGGAACUCUGUGUGGAGGGGUGGGUUGUCGGGAGGACCUUCCUCUGUCUGCGCUUGAGGCAAGGUGUGGAGAGGCGGGGUGGGGGUGGGGCCGGGUCGUCAGGGCGUCUGAGAGGGAAGACCCCCGCCCCCCGCCCCCCCCACCGCCCAUCUACACUGGCUGACUGGACACUAAGAUGGCUGCCGUUGCCAUGGCACCCAACCCUGUGCAGACCCUUCAGGAGGAGGCGGUGUGCGCCAUCUGCCUCGAUUACUUCACGGACCCCGUGUCCAUCGGCUGCGGGCACAACUUCUGCCGAGUGUGUGUAACCCAGUUGUGGGGAGGGGAGGAUGAGGAGGACAGAGAGGAGUUGGACCGGGAGGAGGAAGAGGAGGACGGAGAGGAGGAGGAAGUGGAGGCUGUGGGGGCCGGUGGGGGGUGGGACACCCCCAUGCGGGAUGAAGACUAUGAGGGCGACAUGGAGGAGGAGGUCGAGGAGGAAGAGGAGGGUGUAUUCUGGACCAGUGGCAUGGGAGGGUCCAACUGGGACAACAUGGACUACGUGUGGGAGGAGGAGGACGAGGAGGAAGAUUUGGACUACUACUUGGGGGACAUGGAGGAGGACCUGAGAGGGGAGGAUGAGGAGGACGAGGAGGAAGUGCUGGAGGAGGACGAGGAAGAAGAGCUAGAUCCCGUCACCCCACUGCCCCCGCCUCCAGCCCCUCGGAGGUGCUUCACCUGCCCCCAGUGCCGAAAGAGCUUUCCCAGGCGGAGUUUCCGCCCCAACCUGCAGCUGGCCAACAUGGUCCAGGUGAUUCGGCAGAUGCACCCAACUCCGGGUCGAGGGAGCCGUGGGAGCGAGCAGGGCAUUUGUCCCAAACACCAGGAAGCCCUGAAGCUCUUCUGCGAGGUGGAUGAAGAGGCCAUCUGUGUGGUGUGCCGAGAAUCCAGGAGCCACAAACAGCACAGCGUGGUGCCGUUGGAGGAGGUGGUGCAGGAGUAUAAGGCCAAACUGCAGGGGCACGUGGAACCACUGAGGAAGCACCUAGAGGCUGUGCAGAAGAUGAAGGCCAAGGAGGAGAGGCGGGUGACAGAGCUGAAGGUGGUAUCCACCAUCCCCUUUGCAUCAUCCCAGAGCCAGAUGAAGUCAGAGCUGGCAGCUGUGGCCUCGGAGUUCGGGCGGCUGACACGGUUUCUGGCUGAAGAGCAGGCAGGGUUGGAGCGGCGCCUCCGAGAGAUGCAUGAAGCCCAGCUAGGGCGUGCAGGAGCAGCAGCCAGCCGCCUGGCAGAGCAGGCUGCCCAGCUGAGCCGCCUGCUGGCUGAGGCCCAGGAGCGGAGCCAGCAGGGGGGCCUGCGGCUGCUCCAGGACAUCAAGGAGACUUUCAAUAGGUGUGAAGAGGUACAGCUGCAGCCCCCAGAGGUCUGGUCCCCUGACCCGUGUCAACCCCAUAGCCAUGACUUCUUGACAGAUGCCAUCGUGAGGAAAAUGAGCCGGAUGUUCUGUCAGGCUGCCCGAGUGGACCUGACGCUGGACCCUGACACGGCUCACCCAGCUCUGAUGCUGUCCCCUGACCGCCGGGGGGUCCGCCUGGCAGAGCGGCGGCAGGAGGUUGCUGACCAUUCCAAGCGCUUCUCAGCCGACUGCUGCGUAUUGGGGGCCCAAGGCUUCCGCUCUGGCCGGCACUACUGGGAGGUAGAGGUGGGCGGGCGGCGGGGCUGGGCGGUGGGCGCUGCCCGUGAAUCGACCCAUCAUAAGGAGAAGGUGGGCUCUGGGGGGUCCUCUGUGGGCAGCGGGGAUGCCAGCUCCUCACGCCAUCACCAUCGCCGCCGCCGGCUCCACCUACCCCAACAGCCCCUGCUCCAGAGGGAAGUGUGGUGUGUGGGCACCAACGGGAAACGCUACCAGGCACAGAGCUCAACGGAGCAGACACUGCUGAGCCCAAGUGAGAAACCACGGCGCUUUGGCGUGUACCUGGACUAUGAGGCUGGGCGCCUGGGCUUCUACAAUGCGGAGACUCUAGCCCACGUGCAUACCUUCUCGGCUGCUUUCCUGGGCGAGCGUGUCUUCCCUUUCUUUCGGGUGCUCUCCAAGGGCACCCGCAUCAAGCUCUGCCCUUGAUUAGCCUGCCACCCGCAGGGGCCCCUCUGGUUAGCACUUGGGGGGCGGGUGGUGGUGGAGGGUGGCCCAUAAGUUUGGGGGCUCAAAGGCUCCUUCCACUGUUUGUUGCUUCCUGCUCCCCUUUGACCCAGGCCUGCUUCUCCCUCUAGGAGCCUAAAAGAACCCUCCUGGCCUGCAGCUCAGCCUUCUCUCACCUGCAAUGUCUGUCCAACAGCACUCAAACUAGGAGUAAAGCUCACCC
Molecule: RNA transcript, 3887 nt
Organism: Neogale vison (American mink)
Lineage: Eukaryota; Metazoa; Chordata; Mammalia; Carnivora; Mustelidae
Gene: TRIM41
Gene name: tripartite motif containing 41
Exons: 7
Source: RefSeq, a predicted model, not a curated record